GGGGGGGGGGGGGGGGGGGCGGGGGGCGUGCAGGGCGGGCGGGAGGGCCGCGUUGGGGGGGUGCGCGGGGGGGGGGCGGGGGAGUAACACGUGGGUAGCCUGCCCUGGACUUUGGGGUGACUUCAGUAAACUGGGGCUAAUACCGGAUAGGAGCUCCUGCUGCCUGGUGGGGGUUGGAAAGUUUCGGCGGCUGGGGAUGGACUCGCGGCUUCUCAGCUUGUUGGUGGGGUCGUGGCUUACCAAGGCGUUGACGGGUAGCCGGCCUGAGAGGGUGACCGGCAACAUGGGGACUGGGAUACGGCCAAGACUCCGACGGGAGGCAGCAGUGGGGAAGAGUGCACAAGGGGUGGAAGCCUGAUGCAGCAACGCCGUGGGCGGGAUGACGGCCUUCGGGUUGUAAACCGCUUUCGCUCAUGACGAAGCUGUGUGUGACGGUAGUGGGUAAAGAAGCACCGGCUAACUACGUG
This 467-nucleotide ribosomal RNA is filed under the name uncultured bacterium. RNAcentral's name for it is "partial 16S ribosomal RNA". The stretch from base 51 to 467 matches the Rfam family "Bacterial small subunit ribosomal RNA", at positions 34 to 507 of the family's 1533-position model. The record is from RNAcentral.